Molecule: ribosomal RNA, 406 nt
Filed under: uncultured bacterium
Lineage: Bacteria
Description: partial 16S ribosomal RNA
Rfam family: Bacterial small subunit ribosomal RNA
Source: RNAcentral
GACGAACGCUGGCGGCGUGCUUAACACAUGCAAGUCGAACGAGCGGCGAACGGGUGAGUAAUGAAUAGGAAUCUGCCUGGGAGUGGGGGAUAACGUCAGGAAACGGGCGAUAAUAACGCAAACUAUCAGCUGAGCCUAGGGCGGAUUAGCUAGUUGGAGGGGUAAAGGCCUACAAAGGCGACGAUCCGUAACUGGUCUGAGGGGAUGAUCAGUCACACUGGAACUGAGACACUGUCCAGCCUCCUACGGGAGGCAGCAGUGGUGAAUAUUGGACAAUGGGCGAAAGCCUGAUCCAGCCAUGCCGCGUGUGUGAAGAAGGUCUUCGGAUUGUAAAGCACUUUAAGUUGGGAGGCGUUACCUACAGAAUAAGCACCGGCUAACUUCGUGCCAGCAGCCGCGGUAAUAC